UACGUAGGCAGCAAGCGUUGUUCGGAAUUACUGGGCGUAAAGCGUGUGUAGGCGGUUAGGUAAGUUUGGUGUGAAAUCUCCCGGCUUAACCGGGAGGGUGCGCCGAAGACUGCCUGGCUGGAGUGCGGAAGAGGAGAGUGGAAUUCCCAGUGUAGCGGUGAAAUGCGUAGAUAUCGGGAGGAACACCUGUGGUGUAGACGGCUCUCUGGACCGCAACUGACGCUGAAACACGAAAGCGUGGGUAGCAAACAGG
This 253-nucleotide ribosomal RNA is filed under the name uncultured bacterium. RNAcentral describes it as "partial 16S ribosomal RNA". It matches the Rfam family "Bacterial small subunit ribosomal RNA", at positions 524 to 776 of the family's 1533-position model. The record is from RNAcentral.